UCAUCAGUUAGGAUUAAUCCUUUCCUGUUACCUCUUCGGAGGUAGCAAGAUGAAGAUGAUGAGAUGAUUUGGAUGAUCGAUGAUAUCUCCAUGGGAGUGGGGAAUAUAAAAAUAUUUUUAAA
This is a small nucleolar RNA of Strongylocentrotus purpuratus (purple sea urchin), 122 nucleotides long. RefSeq annotates it as U8 small nucleolar RNA. NCBI's taxonomy places the organism in Eukaryota, Metazoa, Echinodermata, Echinoidea, Camarodonta, Strongylocentrotidae. The record is from RefSeq and is a predicted model, not a curated record. The transcript has a single exon.